Molecule: long non-coding RNA, 2878 nt
Filed under: Lupinus angustifolius (narrow-leaved blue lupine)
Lineage: Eukaryota; Viridiplantae; Streptophyta; Magnoliopsida; Fabales; Fabaceae
Description: long non-coding RNA (LANG_LNC003035)
Source: RNAcentral
UCCUCCACACAAGGAUAUCCUGCUCAUUUUUUCCAGCAUAUUUUUGAAUUUGUUACACUAACUUACAUUCUCUGAACAAAAUUUACAGGAGUGCACAAAUUCAACAACAAAAGGAGAAAGUAUAAAACACAUUCCAGAGACUAGUCCAUAGCAUCAAGGUAAGUCAUACUUUUUCAUGUUAACAUAUUAACGUUACAAAAAUUUAUUAACACAUUCUGUGAACGAAAUUUACAGGAGUACAUAAAUUCAACAACAAAAGGAGAAAGUAUAAAACACAUUCCAUGAAUCACUGCAUAGUAUCAAGGUAUGUCAUACUUUUUCAUGUUAAAUUAUUAACGUUACAAAAGUUUAUUAACACAUUUUGUGAACGAAAUUUACAGAAGUUCAUAAAUUCAUCAACCAAAUGAGAAAGUAUAAAACACAUUCCAGAGAUCAGUCCAUAGUAUCAAGGUAUGUCAUACUUUUUCAUGUUAAAUUAUUAACGUUACAAAAGUUUAUUAACACAUUUUGUGAACGAAAUUUACAGAAGUGCAUAAAUUCGUCAACCAAAGGAGAAAGUAUAAAACACAUUCCAGAAUUCAGUCCAUAGUAUCAAGGUAUGUCAUACUUUUUUGUUAAAUUGUUAAGCUUACAAAAGUUAUUACACAAAAUAAAUAUGACCAAGUGAAUCAAUACAUUUCUGAACGAAAUUAACAAAUUAAACAAAAUAAAUAUGGCUAAGUGAAUGAACACAUGAACAAAAAAUAAAUAACAAAUCAUAUCACAAGGCAAAUCUGACAGAUUUAUUUUAAAAUGAAAAUCUACUUAGAAAGGGAGGCAAAUAAAACGCAUAACAAUUAAUGCAUACAUAAAUUUUAGUAGAAAAAAUAGGAAAAUGCAAUUAAGGUCAAAUAUUUGAUCCAUCAAUUCAAUAUUUUGUACUGAAAUAAAAAAUUAAACCUUCUAAUACUAUUAUUUAAAACAUUUUGUAGUUUUCAUCUUAUAUUUAUCUUCAAUUUCGUGUGAACUUCAAUUCUCUGACAUACAUUAAAUUGAAAUCCUCAAAAUGGGGUUUUGUUGCUUUCUAUUAUUAAAGUUUUUAUAUAAUAUAUAUCAACACUCUAUAUCACUACAUUUAAUCAAUAACAACAUAGAAAAGACAAAACAUAUUUUACUUUCAUAAACCUAUUGAGUGUGAUGUAUGAAGCAAAUUAGUGUAUUAUGAAAAAGAAAAAACACAGUUACAUAUAUAUGAUGAUGUUUGACUAUCGAGCUGUUGAGGCCUAAGGGACAACAAAUGUUAGUUUAAAUUAUGUAUUUGUUAAUCACUCUUUAUAUUUGUUAAUGACUCUUUAUAUUUGUUAAUGACUCUUUCUAUGUAUGUCAGUAUUGCCAAAAUAUGAACAUAACAUAAACAUUGUCAACUAACUCAACACAUCAACAAAUUACAUUGCAUUGUUGUUGUGCAAAUUCAUCAUCCUGGUAAGUCUAAGUCAUAUUUUAUCAUGUCAGAUUACUAAUCACACAAAAAUAUCUUGGCUGAUUAUAAAAAGUAGUUUUUCAUAUUACUAACUACUAAGUCCUAAGGGAUAAGUCAUAAGGGACAAGACAUGUUACUUAAAAUUACAUAUUUGGUAAUGACUCUCUAUUACAGAACAAUAUAAAAUCUGGAACAAUAUAAAAUCAACACAUCAACAACAAUAAUAAUAUAAAAUCUGGAACUGCAUAAUAAAUUCAUAAAACACAAAAUAAAUGUUCGCAUCUAAAUUGUAAAUAACUGAUUAUACAUAAAAGAAUUAACCUAAAACCAUGAAAGUAAUUGUUCGCAUCUAAACACUAAAUAACUGUGCACUGUGCACAUCCAAAUUCUAAAUAACUGAUUAAAUUCCACUCAUUCUUCAGCUAAAAAAAUCAUAUUUGUUUUCCUAAAAGCAAAUUGAUCAAUCUACAAAAUAAUAAAACGAAACCUCAAACCAAUAAUAAAACACAUAUACAAGUUCAAAGUUUACCAACAAAUCAUACAAUAAACAAUCAAACUUGAUGAAAAGUGAAAGCAACAAACGAUUGAACGAUCUAGAAAUAGAAACUCAUAGAUCUAACAACCAAAUAACAAUCACAAAUCAAGAUUUUUCGUUACCUUUCGCAUACCAACAAUGCCAUUAGAACCAAAAUUAAACCCUUCACCCUCUUCAUCAACAGUUCCAGCAGCAACAACAUUAUCAUCCUCAGAAAACUCAUGAUUCUUCAACCUUGCACUCAAAGACCUUAAAUCAUCUCUCAUAGCAACAAUCCCAAUACCAAUCCUCUCACUACCCAUAUUCCCUCCGAUAAAAACCGAUCCCGUCACAUCAUCUUCCUCCUGCUUAUACGGCACAUACAAUAGCCUGUAAAACUGUUGAACCAUCCCAUUCAAACAGGCACCAAAGUCAGCUCCAACCUCCCCUAUACAACUACCAAUAUGUAUAAUAUUUAAAAACAGAAGUCAGAUCGAUGUUGUGAUUUUCAAAUGGAUAGGGAUCCAGAAGCGAUAGAAGAAAAAACAAAAAAUAGAGUCAUUGAAGUCAGAUUGUUGAGGGAAACAGUGAGAGAGACAAAACGCAAGAAAUGCCAAAUAAGAGAGAAAGUGAGAAAAUCUAAAACAUAUAACCACAUCAUAACAAUAGACAGAGAUGAAGAAGAAAUUCAUAAUGGAGAAUAAAGAGAACUUACAAAUCAUUAUGUGAAACUGGAAUACCAAAAUAUAUGAGUUGGUCCCAAUAUAUAGAAGACGCAAGAUCUGGUUGAGUAUUACGUUUGGGGUUGUUCAAUCAUUGAAUCGUUGAGGCGUUGAGGAGGAAUCAGAAGAGUAAGGGUUUGAAGGGGUCAAAUUGGAAGAAGAAGGUGGAGAGAGAAAUAUUUC